GACGAACGCUGGCGGCGUGCUUAACACAUGCAAGUCGAACGAAGCUUUCUGACGGAUUCUUCGGCGGGAGUAUGAUAUGACUGAGUGGCGGCCGGGGGAGUGACGCGUGAGUAACCUGGGCUUCUGAGGGGGGUAGCGUUUGGCAACGAACGGUAAUAUCGCAUAAUGUUUUUUGAGCGCAUGAUCGAAAUACCAAAGAUUUAUCACCGAAGGAUGGACUCGCGGCUGAUUUGGUAUGUGGGGGGGUAACGGCCUACCAAGGCGAAGAUCAGGUGCCGGACUGGGGAGUUGGUCCGCCACAUUGGGACUGGGGCACCGCCCAGGAUUCUUCGGGAGGGAGGAGUGGGGAAAAUUGGAAAAUGGGCGCAAGCCUGAUGCAACAACGGCGCGUGAAGUAAGACGGUUUUCGGAGUGUAAACUUCUGUUCAUACUGAAGAAUAAUGACGGUAGCGAAGGAGCAAGCCACGGCUAACUACGUG
Molecule: ribosomal RNA, 479 nt
Filed under: uncultured bacterium
Lineage: Bacteria
Description: partial 16S ribosomal RNA
Rfam family: Bacterial small subunit ribosomal RNA
Source: RNAcentral